UACGCGAGGAACAGGAACAGAACCCACGCUUUUUUUUUAAAACUCCUCUUUGUUUUUUAACUGAGCGCCAGCACUGCUGGCUCUGCAGGCCGUGGCCGUCUACGUUACGCAGGACGCCCAGCCGCGUGCGCUUGCUACAGAGACCAUGCAUGCAUGGACCAUAUGCUCUUUUUAUUUUUUAUUUUUGGAAGUGAAUAUGCUAUUUUUACUACGCUGUCUACGUGAGUGUGCCCGUGCUCCCACGUAGCGUGUGGCAUGCGUUCUGACCAUCGACGGUCGAUUCUUUUUAGUACUCCGUCAAAUUGGACAUGGAGCACGUAUGCAGUAUUUUUCUAGCAACAACAGGCAAGCUCGCAAACAGACAAACAGGAGGCUGGAAUCACUGUUUUUGCCCAGGCCCAGCUACAUAGCACUAGCACUCUAGGCCUCUAGCAGCCCCAUUCCAUCCCCCGUCCAUAAAACAAAGCGAUUCGCUUUACACGCGGCCGGUGCAUCAUGCUGGGACGUUCGGGCUCCCUCCGUCUGUUUCCCCUCUCUUUCUCUCUCGGUUUUUGCGGCUAGCGGGUGGGUUUUAGCUCCGUUUUUCAAAGGGAAGAGCACGGAACAAAGGUACUCCUAGAAGAGGACGAGACAGUGGUUUUUGUUUUGUUGUGGCGCGGGUCGUCGUGUUGCGAGAGUUGGAGGGAUAGCGGAGGGGGCCUCCUCUUUGAGUUAUUCCUGCUUCUCAGUUCUCACCACGCCACGACAAGAGAGUAGUACUA
Molecule: long non-coding RNA, 761 nt
Filed under: Brachypodium distachyon (stiff brome)
Lineage: Eukaryota; Viridiplantae; Streptophyta; Magnoliopsida; Poales; Poaceae
Description: long non-coding RNA (BDIS_LNC002755)
Source: RNAcentral